This 490-nucleotide ribosomal RNA is filed under the name Glaciimonas alpina. RNAcentral's name for it is "bacterial SSU rRNA". It matches the Rfam family "Bacterial small subunit ribosomal RNA", at positions 969 to 1466 of the family's 1533-position model. The record is from RNAcentral. Lineage: Bacteria; Pseudomonadati; Pseudomonadota; Betaproteobacteria; Burkholderiales; Oxalobacteraceae.
CCUCACCUACCCCUGACAUGGUUGGAAUCCAGGAGAGAUCAGGGAGUGUGGAAAGAGAACCACUACACAGGUGUUGCAUGGCAGUGGUCAGUUCGUGUCGUGAGAGGUUGGGUUAAGUCCCGCACCGAGCGCAACCCUUGUCUUUCGUUGCUAUGAAAGGGCACUCUAAUGAGACUGCCGGUGACAAACCGGAGGAAGGUGGGGAGGACGUCAAGUCCUCAUGGCCCUUAUGGGUAGGGGUUCACACGUCCUACAAUGGUACAUACAAAGGGGCGCCAACCCGCGAGGGGGAGGUAAUCGCAGAAAGUGUAUUGUAGUCCGGAUUGUAGUUUGCAACUUGACUCCAUGAAGUUGGAAUUUGGUUGUAAUUUGCGGAUUCAGAAUGUCGCGGUGAAUAUGUUCCCGGGUCUUGUACACCCCCCCCCCACCCCCGGGAGCGGGGUCCCAGAAGUAGGUAGGUAACCCUAAGGAGGCGGCUAUCCUCGUGAUC